Molecule: non-coding RNA, 21 nt
Filed under: Arabidopsis thaliana (thale cress)
Lineage: Eukaryota; Viridiplantae; Streptophyta; Magnoliopsida; Brassicales; Brassicaceae
Source: RNAcentral
CUUAGAAAAGGAAACGUGGUU